AACCUAGCACACCUGCGGUGUGUACCUGCGGAAGGAUCAUUAUUGAAUAAACUUGGUCAAGCUGUUGCUGGUCCUUCGGGGCAUGUGCACGCUUGCCACCAAUUUUAACCACCUGUGCACCUUUUGUAGAUUGGAAACGUUUCUCGAGGCAACUCGGAUUGAGGACUGCUGUGCGCAAGCCAGCUGUUCUUGUGUUUCUCAAUCUAUGUUUUUAUAUACUCCUAAUGUAUGUAUCAGAAU
This 240-nucleotide unclassified non-coding RNA is filed under the name soil metagenome. Its description in RNAcentral is "partial contains 5.8S ribosomal RNA, internal transcribed spacer 2, and large subunit ribosomal RNA". The record is from RNAcentral.